Molecule: ribosomal RNA, 484 nt
Filed under: uncultured bacterium
Lineage: Bacteria
Description: partial 16S ribosomal RNA
Rfam family: Bacterial small subunit ribosomal RNA
Source: RNAcentral
AUUGAACGCUGGCGGAAUGCUUUACACAUGCAAGUCGAGCGGCAGCGCGGCCUUCGGGCUGGCGGCGAGCGGCGAACGGGUGAGUAAUGCAUCGGAACAUGCCCAGUCGUGGGGGAUAACACUUCGAAAGAAGUGCUAAUACCGCAUACGUCCUGAGGGGGAAAGCGGGAGAUCGCAAGACCUCGCGCGAUUGGAGUGGCCGAUGUCAGAUUAGCUAGUUGGUGGGGUAAAGGCCUACCAAGGCGACGAUCUGUAGCUGGUCUGAGAGGAUGAUCAGCCACACUGGGACUGAGACACGGCCCAGACUCCUACGGGAGGCAGCAGUGGGGAAUUUUGGACAAUGGGGGCAACCCUGAUCCAGCCAUUCCGCGUGAGUGAAGAAGGCCUUCGGGUUGUAAAGCUCUUUCGGCAGGAACGAAACGGUGGGCUCUAACAUAGUCCGCUAAUGACGGUACCUGAAGAAGAAGCACCGGCUAACUACGUG